RNAcentral lists this ribosomal RNA (406 nucleotides) under uncultured bacterium. Its description in RNAcentral is "bacterial SSU rRNA". It matches the Rfam family "Bacterial small subunit ribosomal RNA", at positions 29 to 417 of the family's 1533-position model. The record is from RNAcentral.
AACGAACGCUGGCGGCGUGCCUAACACAUGCAAGUCGUGCGGGAAAGUUUCCUUCGGGGAGCGAGUAAAGCGGCGCACGGGUGAGUAACACGUAGGUAACCUACCUCAUAGUCGGGAAUAACCCGGGGAAACUCGGGCUAAUGCCGGAUAAGACCACGGCUGCUUCGGUAGCCGAGGCCAAAGACGGCCUCUACACGUAAGCUGUCGCUAUGGGAUGGGCCUGCGGCCCAUUAGCUAGUUGGUAGGGAACGGCCUACCAAGGCUGUGAUGGGUAGCUGGUCUGAGAGGAUGAUCAGCCACACUGGGACUGAGACACGGCCCAGACUCCUACGGGAGGCAGCAGUGGGGAAUAUUGCGCAAUGGGGGAAACCCUGACGCAGCGACGCCGCGUGGGUGAUGAAGGCCU